GAAUUUUUACUCCCAAAGGCGCCCCCCAUGGCAGGAGAAAAAAGUCAAUUUUUUCUUGUCCCCUAAGGUGGAAAUUCACAUUGUUGACUGUCACGCCUAUACGCUUUGUCAAAAUGACACAAAAUUUGACACACACGUGUAUCUCAAUAAGAUCUACGAAAAAGUCAAUGGGCACGUAUCUGUAAAAUGUACGGUUAAAGGGCUAUUUCGCAUUUUUUGCCGAUUCGCACACAUUGGAAUGUGGCUAACUCCUCCUAAGGCUUUCGUCCCACUGACACCAAAUUUGCUCAGGCCAAUCUACACCCCAUGGUCAUUCAAAUUUGUAAAAAUCAUGCCGCUGCACCCCAUGGUUUACGUUCUAGGGGGCGCCAAAGAUGACCCAAAUAUCCACAUUCUUAAAAGAAUCCACCCCCCCCCCCCCCCAAGGCAGGAGAAAAAGUCCAGUUAACCCUGCCCAUCGCUCAAUGGCUCAAUCGCAUCGCUCUCCUGGCAACACCGUAAGGAGGAGCAACUUGCCAUUUGGAUAUAUCCUAGCUGUGUUUGUGCCCUCACUCAUGGUCCAGACUUUUUUCAAAUAGGACAUGUAGUUUGUCUGCAGCGACCGUUUUGGUAGAAACUGCACCUCCCAUUCAUUAUAAUGGGAAAUGACCACAGACAAGUGCGCACACCAUCUUUGGACCUUGAGUGUGAUGCGAUCGUGAGGGGGAGGCGGUCGCGCUGGGGGCGGCGCGACGCGGCUCGGGCCCGACAGUGCCCCACCGGGGCCCUAGUUAUUAGGGCCCGAGCGUAGCUGCUAAGCAGCUGCGAGAGCCCUCUUGUUCCUGCAUGUUUCCUUCUUUAGGGCCCGAGCGUAGCUGCUAAGCAGCUGCGAGAGCCCUCUUGUUCCUGCAUGUUUCCUUCUUUUGUUAUUAUUAGGGCCCGAGCGUAGCUGCUAAGCAGCUGCGAGAGCCCUCUUGUUCCUGCAUGUUUCCUUCUUUUGUUAUUAGGGCCCGAGCCAGCUGCAGAGCAGCCGGGCGUAGGCCCUGUUAUUCCUGUAGGGGUUUUUCUUUGUUUCUUUCUUUCUUCUUUUUCCUCCCCUUUGAACUGGAAAAUGGCCCACUUCCCACUGGCGAAAACUCAGGAAAUUUGGCAGGACGACCGGGCCUGGUGAAAAAUUUGAUAUUCCGAAGUCGCCCAAACAAGAAAAUGCAAAAUGGCUCCAUAGCGCCCCCUAAGGUGAAAAUUCACACUAUUGACUGUCACGCCUGUACGCUUUGUCAAAAUGACACAAAAAUUGACACACACAUGUAUCUCAAUAAGAUCUACAAAAAAGUCAGUGCGGGCGUAUCUGUCAAAUGUACGGUUAAAGGGUUAUUUCGCAUUUUUUGCCGAUCCGCACACAUUGGAAUUUCGCUAACUCCUCCGAAGGCUUUCGUUCCACCGGCACCACAUUUGCUCAGGCCAAUCUACACCCCAUGGCCAUUAAAAGUUAUUCAAAUCAUGACGCUGCACCCCACGGUUUAGGUUCUAGGGGGCGCCAAAGAUAACCCUAAAAUCCACAUUUUUAAAAGUCUUAUAACUUUUUAUUUUUCCCCUCACUGGCCUCCAAGUUUUCUAGGAUGAUGCAAUGUCCAGCCAUCAACACAUUUGUGAAGGAAUUUUUACUCCCCAAAAGAGCGCCCCCCCAUGGCAGGAGAAAAAAGUCCAUUUUUUUCUUGUCCCCUAAGGUGAAAAUACACAUUGUUGAGUGUCACGCCUGUACGCUUUGUCAAAAUGACACAAAAAUUGACACACACAUGUAUCUCAAUAAGAUCUACAAAAAAGUCCAUGCGCGCGUAUCUGUCUAAUGUACGGUUAAAGGGUUAUUCCGAAUUUUUUGCCGAUUCGCACACAUUGGAAUUUCGCUAACUCCUCCGAAG
RNAcentral lists this long non-coding RNA (1898 nucleotides) under Xyrichtys novacula (pearly razorfish). The record is from RNAcentral. Lineage: Eukaryota; Metazoa; Chordata; Actinopteri; Labriformes; Labridae.